UCAGAACCAGCUCUGGGCUCCUAGUGCGCUCUGGGUCUCCAUCUGGUUUGGGGGCUAUUUUGAUCCACCGGAUGCAGAGCAGCCGCCGAGAUCUGGGACUGGGUGGCUAGAGCGGCGCCUGUAUCUACAGAAGGACAAUUUAAAGACUAACGUCAAGCCCAGAGAACAAAUAAAUAAAUUCUUCUUUCUGUUCAUAAUGCUCUCUCUGCCUGUUUCUACAGGAAGUUCUGCUCUCUCUCACACUGCUGGUUGAGAAGUGGCUCUCAGCUACCCAAGGUGCAGAGCAGCUAGGAGGGGCUAGGGUAAGAAGGAGGAGAGAGGAUGCUUUGUUCUCCUUCUCUCCCU
This 345-nucleotide long non-coding RNA is filed under the name Mus caroli (Ryukyu mouse). RNAcentral's name for it is "predicted gene 28215 (MGP_CAROLIEiJ_G0006761.1)". Lineage: Eukaryota; Metazoa; Chordata; Mammalia; Rodentia; Muridae. The record is from RNAcentral.